UGUCCGGUGGCCCAACCAACAGAGGCGUCUGUUUCAAACACAGAAGGUUGUGGGUGCAAUCCUACCCGGAGUACCA
RNAcentral lists this transfer RNA (76 nucleotides) under Verrucomicrobiales bacterium. RNAcentral's name for it is "tRNA-Leu". It matches the Rfam family "tRNA". Rfam says of the family: Transfer RNA (tRNA) molecules are approximately 80 nucleotides in length. Their secondary structure includes four short double-helical elements and three loops (D, anti-codon, and T loops). The record is from RNAcentral. Lineage: Bacteria; Pseudomonadati; Verrucomicrobiota; Verrucomicrobiia; Verrucomicrobiales.